GUGGAGGAGGAGGAGGAGGUGGAGGCGACUCUUUGGCUCCUCAUAAAUAUUCAGGUCGCGUCCGGAUCGCCGCCACACCACCGCAUUAUUAGCCCGAGAAGAAAAGAGGGCUUCUUGUUGCACCGCGAACAACAACAACAAACAAACAAACAAACAAAGCCGUAGAGAUUCAGAGCACAAGUGGCGCGUGCUCGACGUUAUUAAGCGACAUCUUGUUUCUGCGGCUGCUUCUUUACGACCACCGGAGAACAACGACGGCUGGUUACCUGGUGACAUUGGAUCUCUACUUUCAGCGCCUCUUGCAGGCCUCGUACUUCCAUGUUUCCGGCCCGGCCACACAAAAAAAACUCACUUUUCUGACACUUUUUUCCGACGCCACCGACGCGAAGUUUUUUUUCCUUUUUUAAUCAGAAUAUAUAUUUUUUCUUAUUUCCAAAGCGACGAUAACAAUUGGAAGAACGAACUACUCGAGCUGACGGCAAAAAAAGCAAGUUCUCGCUUUUUUUUUUCGCAGGCUCGGGACUCAUCACCCCCACUUUCCGCCCGUCUGCGAAAAGUGCUCCAAACCCGGCGGAAAGAGCUCAGGCCCCGGCGGCUCUUCUCCAGAUUCGCGGCCAAACGUCGAGUGGUCCGACGGGGGAGCGGGGCUGCUUUCCCGUCGGUUAUUUUAAGUUGAAACACGGGGACUAUAUUCUGUCCGAGUCCGCGGCUUGAUUUCACUUUGCCUGGGGAAAAGUUGCGCUUCGGCUGUCAAUGGUAAUUCUGAGAGUUCCCGGAUGGAGCAGCGAGGGCAUGCGCAGUAGGGAGAAGCUACAACUACUUCAAGGAGCAUUUUAUAAAUGCGUGCCGCUAUUGGUCCCAGCCGAGCCAAUCAAGAGCUGCGAUGAUUGAGGGGCAGCGCGGGGAACCAACGGGAGCCCGGCGUCGGGAGGAGGGGGAGGAGGAUGUGAUCGGAAAGUUGAUGAGCGAGCAGAGAUGGCAGCUGGCUUCAUUUACAGGCCUGAUUGACUGAUAGGUCCGUCAGCCAAUUAGAGACGAGACGCAGUAAAUCAAACAAGCCGAACCCCCACUGAGCGGAGACACCUUCACGCUGCACAGCAGGAAGCAAACCUCUACAGGGAAACCUGCAGGAACCAGAGUAGAUCCUUCAAGAGAC
This is a long non-coding RNA of Gasterosteus aculeatus aculeatus (three-spined stickleback), 1156 nucleotides long. Lineage: Eukaryota; Metazoa; Chordata; Actinopteri; Perciformes; Gasterosteidae. The record is from Ensembl.